RNAcentral lists this transfer RNA (73 nucleotides) under Acropora cervicornis. Its description in RNAcentral is "tRNA-Thr". It matches the Rfam family "tRNA". From Rfam's summary of the family: Transfer RNA (tRNA) molecules are approximately 80 nucleotides in length. The record is from RNAcentral. Lineage: Eukaryota; Metazoa; Cnidaria; Anthozoa; Scleractinia; Acroporidae.
GGCUUCAUAGCUCAGUUGGUAGAGCAUCGCACUGGUAUCGCAGAAGUCACAGGUUCAACUCCUGUUGAAGUCC